Molecule: unclassified non-coding RNA, 395 nt
Filed under: fungal sp.
Lineage: Eukaryota; Fungi
Description: partial internal transcribed spacer region
Rfam family: Eukaryotic small subunit ribosomal RNA (bases 1-46)
Source: RNAcentral
AAGUCGUAACAAGGUUUCCGUAGGUGAACCUGCGGAAGGAUCAUUAACACGUAUCCAAACGUUAAAACCCCCCCCGUGAACCUUCAUCCUGCUCUUGUAACCCGCGUAGUUCGCAAUCUCUGAUAAAUCAUAGCCCGGAAAGUUGUAGUGAUUCAGAGACCUCUGGCUACGUGCGAACAUUGGAACAGUUACAAUCGAGCGGUAGUUCUAUAGGCAAUGUUUCCCCAAGCGGUCUACAGGAAUCGUAGAAGCGCUAUCCUUGCACAAUCAAUGACACCGUACACUCGGGCAGGAGCUUUGCCAAGGGUCCCCAUGCCCCCUAAUAACCCUACAGUUUAAUGUGAAGCUCAAUGUAAUAACCGAACAAACUGUUAACAAUGGAUAUCUUGGUUCUC